Molecule: long non-coding RNA, 3644 nt
Organism: Manacus vitellinus (golden-collared manakin)
Lineage: Eukaryota; Metazoa; Chordata; Aves; Passeriformes; Pipridae
Exons: 3
Source: RefSeq, a predicted model, not a curated record
AUGAGACCCAUAGGGAGAAUUUCCAUACCACGACGCCAUGUGUCCAGUGGGGGAUCUGGCAGCCAGUUGGUAAAAGAAGAGCCCGGGGAGCCAGUGUUGGCCCCACAGCAGCGUGUCCUGAGGUGAUGGGGCUCCUCAGCCCAUACGUCUGGUUUCUCAUCACCCUUGUGUUCUUCCCACUGCACCUUCCCCUCGUGAGAGCUCAAAUCGACAUGUAGCCAUGUUCAGCAUUGCUAUGGGGUCUGUGCUGGCAUUCUGGUAGCAUUGUGCAGCUUGUUUUGUAGGCCAGUUUAAAUGUUUUUUUGCUGCAGUGAACAGUGCCAUAACUAUGAACACUCUCUCAACUCGUGUCUAUAGCUACACCUUGACGUCUGUCCUCAGGACUUGUUUGGUCCACAGAGGAGGGGGUAACAGGAGCUCACUAUUGAAAAGAAAGUUUGGCCCAUGAAUCUGAGUAACCAGCAGUGAGUUUUGGUUUUGCUUUCUCCACCAGGUGCUCUGUGAUCAGGCAAUCCUGGGAGAAGAAAUGUGUCUGUCCCACCCAAGCUCAUCACCUUGACCUUCCAGCUUCCAUAGGCCCCUCCCAUUGAAGCAUCCCUUUCCCAUUGCAGGAACAGAAAUGGACACUUGGAGAAAAAUCUGUGGACUGCUAGUAAUGCGAUGAAGGCAAGAGCUGAUGAAAGCUUUGAGGUCUUCCUUCUGGGCAGUCACUCCCAGGGAGAAGCAGCAUAUCCUUUGGAGGUGGUACCAGAAUCCACUGCUUUGGGGGCAUUACAAUGUUAUAGUGAUGCUCCUGCCACUGCCAGAGGUUUGGCCAUAACACCAGACAAUAUAUGAGAGUGCAAGCCUUCUUUCCAACCCUUGGCAGCCCAUGGCAUGCUCUUUUGGGUGGAAAUGCUGCCUAUAUCCCCACCCCCUUCCCACCCAUUCAUUCCUCUGCAAAGCAUAGUUUGUCACCCCCUCGGCUGUGCUAAUGCACCCCCCAAGCUGAGGAGUGACACUGCUGGAUCUGCUGAAUGGUCCCAGCUAAUAAUACCCCCCAAUACCUCUUUAUUUUGGAAAGUUAUUCAAGGAUCCAACUUGCAGAAUGGCAUGAUAAACAUCUUGGCAAAGCUGAGUUGGCAGCAAAAGGAAGUGUCAGGGCAGGAGUAAAUGGUUAGGGGCAAAGAAAUGGCAGGAACGUCUUCAGCUGCUGUACAAUAAAAGACCAGAAGUAAUGAUUUGACACAUUUCUACCCAUCCUGUGUCUUUUUUUUUUUUUUCCAAAUGAUGUUGUGAUCACACAGACCUCUAACAUCCUCAAAACCUUUCAUGCCAAAAAUUUCCGUGGUCAGCAGGAACAUCAAUGCACCUGAAGUGGGGAACGUGGCAUUUAGCAAUUGGUUACUACAGAAGCAGAAUAAGGGCAGAGUUAUGGCCAUAUGAAAAACCCAGGGCACAGUCUUGUAAUUAAAAGGCCAUCAUAAUGCAUGUACCACUGAGGAGGACUGGGUAUUAAUCACUGUCUGAUUAAUACUUGAGAGCUUGUCUGUGUGAUCUGGAUGUAUUUUUAUGUGCUCGCCUUGUGCAUGCACGUAUUUGGCCCAGUGGUGAGAAGCAAAUGUGUCUGAGGCUUGGAAGCUGAAGUUUCACUUGAUCUGGCUUCUUGAGUCAUUUCCUGUGGAUUUGCAAGAUCUCAUAUUUGAUCUCUGCUUUCACUGUCCUACUAAUUUAGAAGCUGCUGAGCGAUGUAUUCUCUGAAUGAUUUCUCUCCCUCCUGGUAUUACUUUCAUGCCGAUAGAUACUCAAUUUUAUUUCUCUGAUAUUCAGGUUACUGUGCCGGUUCUUGCGGGUGGUGCAUUCGAGAUGACUGACUUUUCUGAAUGAAAAGGCUCCCUCUCAGAGGAGUGGGAUUUCAGCAUGCCUUUGGAGAAUUGGUUUGGAGAAUUGUCAGGAUCAUUUCAGGCACCUGCCAGGGGAAGAGAAGGUGGAGAACUCCUUGCAGUCUUCCCAGGAUGUCGUUUUGGAGGGUGGUAAGAUCAGAGCAGGAAAGCAGAAAGGACCCUCACUGCCAGAUGAACUGAUUUGCUCAAGAACUGACUAUGCCACUGUUUUCUAGUUUUUAUUUCUUUGUAACUCUGUGUUUUACUAGCGCUGAAAGUGGCAACAAAUCUUAGGAGAUCUCUUGUGCUGUUGCCUGUGUGAUUUUUCAGGACACCAAGGGAUCAACCUGGGCAACAGCAAUGACUGUGCUGGUGUCUGGGAAGGCAUUGACCAGUGCAUGCAGUCAGCCAUGAGUCACUUGUGUGGGACAAAUCUGCUGUCAUUUGUAGCUGAUUUCACGAAACCAUGCGCUCUCCUUCACCCUCUCCCAAAAUACAAACAAGGUUUAUUGAAAUGAGGAGACUGUGAGGAAAAGGGGUCUUUUCAAAACCCUUGCUUUCUAACUGGGCACUCUGUUGCCCUCGUAAUAUUCAGCAGUAUGUGAUUUAUAGCUCCCCUGACACGAUGGUUUGGUGUUUCCUUUGUGUGCAUAACUUCCUUUUGAUAUAAAGGGAUGAUAACAAACCUAAACUGUAAUCUCACUAGCACAUGACACGUUGUCUUUGUGGUGCAGAUGGCAGGAAAAUGCUCUGAUCUUGAGUUCAGCACUUCAGCCUUCCCACCCCCACCCCAAAUUCCACCCUGGUAACAGGGUGGUCAUUAGCAAGUUUAGUGAGACAGCAGUGUUGGUGGGGGCGAUUCCUUCAGAUGCAGUGAUGCAGGAUGAUGUUUUUGGGAGUCCCACUGGAGUUGAGUCCCUGGUAUGGACUCAGCAAGAGAUGGGUGCACAGCUGCUUCUUUAUCUUCUUCUUACCUUUUUGUGCUGAAUGACUAGAAGGAAAAACUGCUACAAAACCUUCACUUACCACUGUCAGUCCCCCAGCAGAGCUUUCCUUCUGUGCAUUCCCAACUCAGCGUGCCCUGGCCCAUCAAAUCAAAAAAAUAAUGUGCACGAACUCUGCAACUGUCACAGCAACCUCAGGAUUAGUCCUAAAGCUGGGCUGCUUUUGGCAUGAGGGAAGGGCUGCUCUUCUCUCGAGAUGCCUUUCCACCCUUGAGAGGUUUCUGCAUUUUUGAUACAGCUGCUUCCAGAGCCUCAUGGGAGCUGAACAAACAGAUGUCAAAUAGUCUGUUCUUACUUCAGGGAGCACAAAAGUGGAUGGGUCUGGGAUAAACACUGGAGCUGUGCACACCUUUUCCUGCCCUCCUCGGGGAUUAUUUGAAUUAGGCUUGAACCCUUAAGUGUAUUUCAAAAAGUUGCCUUCUGAUGGCCAAAAUUCACUUGGGUGUUCCUCCCUGUCUUGCACAGCUAUUGGGAGACCAACCAUUCUGAAGACUCAUGUCCCCUUUUAUUGCAAAACUCUUUGAUUGGCCUCAGCAGGUGACACAACGAACAGUUGACUACUUACUUUAGCAAAACCAGUUUUCAUGGCUUGACCUCCUUUUCUGACCCAGUGUCUUGCUGUGAGUAGAGGGUCCUAUUCAGUGUCUGAGCAGUUGUAAUUGCAGGAUUACCCAGUCCAGGCCCAGACGUGGUAGAAACCCCCCCACAGGCAUUGAUCAGGAAAGGCUUCUGGAGUUAAAUUAAGCUUUUGAAAUAUGGAAAUGAGGACAUGGCUUAG